RNAcentral lists this ribosomal RNA (460 nucleotides) under uncultured bacterium. RNAcentral describes it as "partial 16S ribosomal RNA". It matches the Rfam family "Bacterial small subunit ribosomal RNA", at positions 338 to 795 of the family's 1533-position model. The record is from RNAcentral.
CCUACGUGAGGCAGCAGUGAGGAAUAUUGGUCAAUGGGCUUACGCCUGAACCAGCCAAGUCGCGUGAGGGAAGACUGCCCUAUGGGUUGUAAACCUCUUUUGUCAGGGAGCAACGCCGGCUACGUGUAGCCGGACUGAGAGUACCUGAAGAAAAAGCAUCGGCUAACUCCGUGCCAGCAGCCGCGGUAAUACGGAGGAUGCGAGCGUUAUCCGGAUUUAUUGGGUUUAAAGGGUGCGUAGGCGGAAUGCCAAGUCAGCGGUAAAAUCGCGGGGCUCAACCUCGCUCCGCCGUUGAAACUGGCGUUCUUGAGUGGGCGAGAAGUAUGCGGGAUGCGUGGUGUAGCGGUGAAAUGCAUAGAUAUCACGCAGAACUCCGAUUGCGAAGGCAGCAUACCGGCGCCCAACUGACGCUGAAGCACGAAAGCGUGGGUAUCGAACAGGAUUAGAUACCCCGGUAGUC